This 253-nucleotide ribosomal RNA is filed under the name uncultured bacterium. Its description in RNAcentral is "partial 16S ribosomal RNA". It matches the Rfam family "Bacterial small subunit ribosomal RNA", at positions 524 to 776 of the family's 1533-position model. The record is from RNAcentral.
UACGUAGGGUGCGAGCGUUAAUCGGAAUUACUGGGCGUAAAGCGUGCGCAGGCGGUUUCGUAAGACAGAUGUGAAAUCCCCGGGCUCAACCUGGGAACUGCAUUUGUGACUGCGAGGCUAGAGUAUGGCAGAGGGGGGUGGAAUUCCACGUGUAGCAGUGAAAUGCGUAGAGAUGUGGAGGAACACCGAUGGCGAAGGCAGCCCCCUGGGCCAAUACUGACGCUCAUGCACGAAAGCGUGGGGAGCAAACAGG